AACUACCUAUCCAUAUGUUCUAAUUAGGGUUUACAAUUAAUAUCAAUUAACACUAUGUAACUAUGUAGUUGCUUUUUUUCAGGAAAUUACAAGUAUUUUGAUGAGUUGCUGCUAAAAAUGACUACUUUAUAUGGGUUGCUGCUAAAUUCUUCCGUUUUGGGUCAUAAAAAUGGAAACCCAAUGCUUUCGUUUCGAUAUCGAUUGUCUACUGAAGCCAAUUCUAGAGACUUGAUUGCUUGUAAUUUUGUACCAAAAUGGAAUUUAAGGUCAGAGAUCAAUUAUUCAAACAAAAGGCAGAUUCGACCUCGGUUUUCGAUGUCUAAGGGAG
This is a long non-coding RNA of Chenopodium quinoa (quinoa), 328 nucleotides long. RefSeq lists it as uncharacterized. The record is from RefSeq and is a predicted model, not a curated record. The transcript has 3 exons. NCBI's taxonomy places the organism in Eukaryota, Viridiplantae, Streptophyta, Magnoliopsida, Caryophyllales, Amaranthaceae.